CUCAGGACGAACGCUGGCGGCGUGCCUAAUACAUGCAAGUCGAACGGUCUUUCUAUGGAAGCUUGCUUCCACUGAGAAGAUAGUGGCGAACGGGUGAGUAACACGUGGGUAACCUGCCCAUAAGAGGGGGGAUAACAUCCGGAAACGGGUGCUAAUACCGCAUAGUUUUCUUGAUCGCAUGAUCGGGAAAGGAAAGACGGCCUUUGUGCUGUCGCUUAUGGAUGGACCCGCGGCGUAUUAGUUAGUUGGUGAGGUAACGGCUCACCAAGACGAUGAUACGUAGCCGACCUGAGAGGGUGAUCGGCCACAUUGGGACUGAGACACGGCCCAAACUCCUACGGGAGGCAGCAGUAGGGAAUCUUCCGCAAUGGACGAAAGUCUGACGGAGCAACGCCGCGUGAGUGAAAGAAGGUUUUCGGAUCGUAAAACUCUGUUGUCAGAGAAGAACAAGUUGGAGAGUAACUGCUCCAGCCUUGACGGUAUCUGACCAGAAAGCCACGGCUAACUACGUGCCAGCCGCCGC
This 523-nucleotide ribosomal RNA is filed under the name uncultured bacterium. RNAcentral's name for it is "bacterial SSU rRNA". It matches the Rfam family "Bacterial small subunit ribosomal RNA", at positions 23 to 518 of the family's 1533-position model. The record is from RNAcentral.